UUUACAAUGGAGAGUUUGAUCCUGGCUCAGGAUGAACGCUAGCGGCAGGCCUAAUACAUGCAAGUCGAGGGGCAGCACAGGUAGCAAUACUGGGUGGCGACCGGCAAACGGGUGCGGAACACGUACGCAACCUUCCUCUAAGUGGGGAAUAGCCCGAAGAAAUUCGGAUUAAUACCCCGUAAUAUUGUUGGAUGGCAUCAUCUGACAAUUAAAGAACUUCGCUUGGAGAUGGGCGUGCGUCUGAUUAGGUAGUUGGUGAGGUAACGGCUCACCAAGCCGACGAUCAGUAACUGGCGUGAGAGCGCGACCAGUCACACGGGCACUGAGACACG
Molecule: ribosomal RNA, 332 nt
Filed under: Chitinophaga tropicalis
Lineage: Bacteria; Pseudomonadati; Bacteroidota; Chitinophagia; Chitinophagales; Chitinophagaceae
Description: bacterial SSU rRNA
Rfam family: Bacterial small subunit ribosomal RNA
Source: RNAcentral